RNAcentral lists this ribosomal RNA (433 nucleotides) under uncultured bacterium. RNAcentral's name for it is "partial 16S ribosomal RNA". It matches the Rfam family "Bacterial small subunit ribosomal RNA", at positions 29 to 507 of the family's 1533-position model. The record is from RNAcentral.
AACGAACGCUGGCGGCAUGCCUAACACAUGCAAGUCGAACGAGACCUUCGGGUCUAGUGGCGCACGGGUGCGUAACGCGUGGGAACCUGCCCUUAGGUUCGGAAUCACUCCCCGAAAGGGGUGCUAAUACCGGAUAAUGUCUUCGGACCAAAGAUUUAUCGCCUUUGGAUGGGCCCGCGUUGGAUUAGCUAGUUGGUAGGGUAAAAGCCUACCAAGGCGACGAUCCAUAGCUGGUCUGAGAGGAUGAUCAGCCACACUGGGACUGAGACACGGCCCAGACUCCUACGGGAGGCAGCAGUGGGGAAUAUUAGACAAUGGGCGAAAGCCUGAUCCAGCAAUGCCGCGUGAGUGAUGAAGGCCUUAGGGUUGUAAAGCUCUUUUACCCGGGAUGAUAAUGACAGUACCGGGAGAAUAAGCUCCGGCUAACUCCGUG